UGGGAACCUUCCCUAUGGUUCGGAAUAGCUCAGGGAAACUUGGGGUAAUACCGCAUACGCCCUCUUGGGGAAAGAUUUAUCGCCGAAGGAUCGGCCCGCGUCGGAUUAGCUUGUUGGUGGGGUAACGGCCUACCAAGGCGACGAUCCGUAGCUGGUCUGAGAGGAUGAUCAGCCACACUGGGACUGAGACACGGCCCAGACUCCUACGGGAGGCAG
Molecule: ribosomal RNA, 216 nt
Filed under: uncultured bacterium
Lineage: Bacteria
Description: partial 16S ribosomal RNA
Rfam family: Bacterial small subunit ribosomal RNA
Source: RNAcentral